GCCGGGCGUGGUGGCUCACACCUGUAAUCCCAGCACUUUGGGAGGCUGAGGCGGGUGGAUCACCUGAGGUCGGGAGUUUGAGACCAGCCUGACCAACAUGGAGAAACCCCGUCUCUA
This is an unclassified non-coding RNA of Papio anubis (olive baboon), 117 nucleotides long. It matches the Rfam family "Metazoan signal recognition particle RNA". Rfam says of the family: The signal recognition particle (SRP) is a universally conserved ribonucleoprotein. It is involved in the co-translational targeting of proteins to membranes. The eukaryotic SRP consists of a 300-nucleotide 7S RNA and six proteins: SRPs 72, 68, 54, 19, 14, and 9. NCBI's taxonomy places the organism in Eukaryota, Metazoa, Chordata, Mammalia, Primates, Cercopithecidae. The record is from Ensembl.